UAUGAAGGCAGCUGCCGAUGGUUCCAGAU
This 29-nucleotide non-coding RNA is filed under the name Homo sapiens (human). Lineage: Eukaryota; Metazoa; Chordata; Mammalia; Primates; Hominidae. The record is from RNAcentral.